This 281-nucleotide ribosomal RNA is filed under the name uncultured bacterium. RNAcentral's name for it is "partial 16S ribosomal RNA". It matches the Rfam family "Bacterial small subunit ribosomal RNA", at positions 505 to 784 of the family's 1533-position model. The record is from RNAcentral.
GUGCCAGCAGCCGCGGUAAUACGUAGGGGGCGAGCGUUGUCCGGAUUUAUUGGGCGUAAAGAGCUCGUAGGCGGUUCAACAAGUCGGUCGUGAAAGUUCAGGGCUUAACCCUGAAAUGUCGAUCGAUACUGUUGUGACUAGGAUACGGUAGAGGUGAGUGGAAUUCCGAGUGUAGCGGUGAAAUGCGUAGAUAUUCGGAGGAACACCAAUUGCGAAGGCAGCUCACUGGGCCAUCACUGACGCUCAUGGACGAAAGCCAGGGGAGCGAAAGGGAUUAGAUA